This 4238-nucleotide long non-coding RNA is filed under the name Gallus gallus (chicken). The record is from RNAcentral. Lineage: Eukaryota; Metazoa; Chordata; Aves; Galliformes; Phasianidae.
CUUUGGGUGAGACAAAGAUACCUGAACCAAUCAUGUUGCCUACUAUCAGGCUUAUCCCGUUUAGCAAAGAUAUUUCUUUCUUCAGUUGCAUUGUGUUUUGGUUUCCAUCCUGUAUUUCAGAGUGGUCAUUUGGAUCUGUCUUGUCUGAUUUACUGACAGGGCUGUAUUCAGCCAGUGAGCUAUGAGACUUAGCACAGUCUGUCCUUUCUCCCAUCGUGGAAGGGCUGUGAAUUCUCCACGGCUCUGAACUCCAAUCUCCGCUCCUGCCGGCUCCGCGCUGCGGGGAUGCUCAGUCCUCACCGCACAUGCACGAUGGCGGCCGCUCCGUCUCGCAGCCCCGCGCCCGUCACGGUCCGCCCCUCCCUCAGCAGGAAACCACCGCGGGGCCCGAACUCUCGCCCGGCCCCGCCGGGUAACCACAGCCCGCCACGCCCCAGCUCCAAAUGAGGCUGGGACCCAUCCUUCCCUCAGGCGCAAGAUGGAGCUGGCCGCGCCGUUCCCGCCUCAGCGCUGUGGCGGCGGAGGGCCGUUCCCGCCCGCAGCCCCUGUGGGGAUAUGGCGCCUCGGCCCGGGCAGCUGCUUCAGCGCGGGGCCAGCGAGCUCAGCCCCCUACCCACCUCCUCGUUCUGCUUCCAGCUGCUCCCUCACGGACGCAGAGGUCAGGGCCCCAGGCAGCAGGGUGAUAGGCUUUGUCUCUCCGGCUGUUAUCUGCAGCCCCAGCAGGUCUUGCGCAAGUACAGCUGCACUGAAUCCGUUUCCUCCCAAAGCUAUGGGCAGUGUUGUAAAGCAGCAAGCAAUGCCUGUCUGUCGUCUUCUGGAUCUCAGCAGCGCUGCCUGUUCAGCAGAACCAUGAUUUCAAAAAACGAUCAGCUUGAGAUCUUUUCUUCCUGGUUUAACUUCACACUGAGCUGCAGACAUACAUAGAGAACAUGGAUAUAAGGUAUUAAUGUUUUUCCAUUUACCAAACACUUUAAGCCUCCCACUCCAAAGUGCUGCAAUCACUGCUUUUUUUUUUUUUCAGGGCAUAUGAUUGUUUGCAAUUAAAAAUAGAAUAAUUUACAUGCAUAAUGUAACAUUUCUAAGACUUAAGGUCCUGUAUAAGAAAUAUUUCUUAAUUCUCUUAUCUGGAAAGAUGUAAUAACAGCUGUUUUUCCUUUGUGUGAUCCCAAAAACUCAUAAUCUGUUUCCCUGUCUUUUAAAGUCAAGGAAAUAAGGUGUCAUCUGACUUGAAUAAUAUUUACCAUGUUGCACAUUGCACUCCUCCCCUCUAGGUCCAAAACUAGAAUUUUCUGUACCAAUCUUGGAGAUUCCUGCAGGCAGUGGGUUGAUGUGAUCUUUUAAUCUAGCUGGCUUUUUCCUUGAGAGGACUGAAACCAUGGUCUGCCAGAGAGACAGACUUCAGUCAACAGACUAUGACAGAUGCAAGUGAAUCACUGUCAUUCCAAGUCCACUUAAGAAACCUUAAAAAAAGAAAAGUCACAGCAGCAGGCUAUCUCAGGAGGGAAACCUGUGCAGUGGCUGCUUUGUCCCUUCCAACUCCAAUGAUUCCAUGAUGAUUCUGUGAUAGUAAAGAAAAAAAAUGUUCCAAAAGUCUUCAGAUUGUUUAAGACAAAGACAUUUUCCAGUCUGGCCCAAUUCAUUCAUCUUACCAACUGGAUCAAACCUUGUCCAAAACCUCUUCACUCUACACAAAUAGAAAAUUUUGUCCUGUAGCUAGUAGAAGGGUGGCUAACAGGUAACUCAGGAUUGUAGAACUAUUUGAAACAUGCUGUGGAAAGAGGAACUUCAAUAUAUUUUAUAUAUAUAUAUAUAUAUAUCAAAGCGCAAUGAAACAAACAAAGAAAACCCCACUUACGCUAUUGGUAAAAAUGAACAAGAGCACUGGGUUCUGCCUCUGCACAAAACAAAUUAGGCUUGUGCCUAUUUGAAUACUUAGCACUGCCAUUAGGGAUUUUAUUGUACAAUAAGUACCAUACACCAAGAGAAAAUUAAUAGCCAAAGACCAUUGUUAGCUUGGAAAACGUGCCUGUGUCAUUCUGAUUUCUGAGUGUUGACAGCAGAGUUCAGAUGUGAAUUUUCCUGUAUGGAUAGGUCAACUGCUUUAUCCUUAAAUCAUGCCAUCACUCAGUAGUAAAUUGAAAAGGAUGGACAGCCAGGUGAAGGAAUUAUCAUACGCCAAUUUGAAACCAACCAGCAAAAAUAAUAAGGAAAAAAACAAACAGGAAACUGAGCUUUUCACCUACAGAUAGAGGCAGGCUUCACAAGUCAGAAGCAGUUUCCAGCUCAGUAUGAAAUCAGACCACAAAAGGAAAUAAGUGGUUUCCCCUUCUAGUCACCAUUUUCAACACUGAGUAUCUACGUUUGUAGCUUAAAACUACAGUCUGGGAUCUGGGAGAAUAUUGCCCUCUGGAACUGGAAAUUCAGUCUUACCUGUCACUGGUUUUCAAGGUGCAUAGUUUGUGGUCUGUGUCCAAGUGCCAGUGGUGGGUCCUAAUGCUGUUUUCUUUACCUGAAGGUGGACCAGAUAAGGGAAGAGUACAAAAUGGUCUUCUACUGUCAGAGCUUGGGUGAUCUAGUAAGACAAAAAGAAAGUUUAAAAGGAGUAAGAUGAGACCUGUAAAUGGAACAGCAACAGAACAUAAUGUUUCAUUCCAGUCCUCUGCAGUGGAUAAUAAAGUUAAAACUGAUGGGAGAACUCCUUUUUAAUUACUAGCUGCUCUUUGGGCACUUGUUAAUUGGUCACUACUCCUAGGAAGAUUUUGGUGUAUGCUGCUGUGUGCUUUCAUGUUUUUCAGGAAUUCUGUACGAAUUUGUUUCUUAAGUUACAGAAAAUUCCAUUCUAAAUCUGUCAGCUGUUGAUCAGAACUAAAUGCUUGGAAAUGCAGAUGUUGUUAUAAGUUAGUUAGUUCCCUGUGGCUCACUAUUUAUUUCCAAAGGUAUGAGGAAUACAGUAAAAACAUUUCUGCAGCCAGCUCAUGCUUUGGAUGACACCGGUAGAGGGCAGAGAUCUGAGAACAGACACUUGUACUUGGAAAACAUGUGUACAUGUGGCAAUAAUAGUGAUAUUUAUCCUUUUCUUAGAAUAGCUGGAACUGAAUAUGUUUCAAGGUAGAGACCUUUCUUUGUUGUGUUCCAUGGGACAGAAUUUGCCAGAUCCAUGUCAAGAAAAUUUUCUCUUCCUGCAUCAUUCAUUCUGCUAUCAAAUAGAAUAGUUGACAAGCUUGGUACUACAAGAGUUGAGUUUUUGUGAACAGAUGACCUGAAAAAAAAAAGAAAAUAGAGAAGAAUUAUCUUGAAAACCUUCUUCCAAACCCUUUUCUAAGCAGCUUUGUCUUGGAAUCUAAGGCUGUAUCAGUGCAGGUAAAGGGGUGAGUGUGCAGCUGUUGAGCCUUUAGACUCUCUUAAUUCUACUUCACCUAGUUGCCUCUGUUGCUGUGGCAGCACAGACCUGUAGGCUACCUGUCCUAGUUUUUACUGCUGUCCUGGAUUGUUUCUGAAGCCUGUGCUGCCAGCAGCCAUUGUCUCAGUAGAAAACAAGUUGUUCAGUAUAAAGUUAGCUCUUAUCUAGGUACACAGUCUUCAGUUCUUUUGACAUUGGCAGGCCUGCAACAAGUUCCAACAUCACUUUGAGAAUGAGAGUCAACAGUGUUGUUGAGUAAUCACAAAACAGUCGUCCUUGCUGUUUAAGAAAAUGAGUUGCAAAUGCUUUUUUCCCCAGCUGACACUUUAGGAGAAAAAAGAAAAACACACAAGGAAGUCUAGAUUUUUGCCAUUGCAUUAAGGCCUUCUCAAGGAGAGGUUCAAAGUGACUUUUAGACAGAGGGUGUUUUUGCAAGAGCAGCAGUCUGCUGCUUAUAAGAAGGUAAAACAGGGUUUUGUUGAUCGACUGGAUAUAGUUGUUCUUGUUAGGGACACAAACAAGAUUUUGGGACAUUUUGCUCUGAAGUGUUUUAUUAUGUAAUGUCAGUAACUGGCAAGAGAGUCAAGAAGCUUAGGAAAUACUUUUGUAAGACUCUCAAAAACAUGCAGUGUACUCCCCUCUGAAUUAUGUAUGCCUGUCUACGGUAUGAAUACUUUUGAACCUUUGUAUGCAUUAAGUGCUGUCUCCUGGGGAAAAAAAAAAAUAGCACAGGAACACUAGUAAGAAUACAGAAUGUUUGCUCAAUUCACAUUUGUCAGGAGCUAGAAUACUGACACUGACAUUUUAUGGUGACAAUAUAUAUAAUACUCAAGUAUGC